RNAcentral lists this small RNA (571 nucleotides) under Pongo abelii (Sumatran orangutan). Its description in RNAcentral is "processed transcript". Lineage: Eukaryota; Metazoa; Chordata; Mammalia; Primates; Hominidae. The record is from RNAcentral.
AAGAUGCUGAAUGUCUCCGGCCUCUUUGUUCUCCUCUGUGGGCUGCUUGCCUCAUCCUCUGCACAGGAGGUCCUGGCUGGAGUUUCUUCCCAGCUCCUUAAUGUGGGGCAUUCUUUACAGAUUUGACUCAAGGACUCCUCAGGUCAGACUUUCUUCCCAGCCUGCAGACAAUUGGCCUCCAGAAAUCAUUGAGUAGUGCCUUCGAUGGUGUAUCAGGCCUCCUGGACAUCUUUGGGCCUCCACUCACCAAUGAGAUCGACACUGUUAGGAUACAGGUGAAAAAUCCUCAACUCCUCCAAGUCUCCAUUGAGAGCACCCCUCAAAGAAAGGAGGCCACUGUACGAGUACCAUUCACGUCUGAGUUGAUUGUGCAGCUCCUGACCAUGAAGCCCUUCACAGCUAAUAUCCAGUCAGAUAUAAAAGUCCAGAUUCGUUUGGAGAAGAAUGUAGGUGGCAGAUAUGAACUUGCCUUUGGGAACUGCAGGCUCUUGCCUGAGGCAAUUUGGAUCCAAACUGGAGUCCAACUCGCCCCAGCAGCAAAAUUUGUUGUGGCAAACAUAGAGAGAAACCU